CGACCUCAGAUCAGGCGAGAGUACCCGCUGAAUUUAAGCAUAUCAUUAAGCGGUGGAAAAGAAACUAACAAGGAUUCCCCCAGUAACUGCGAGUGAAAAGGGAAGAGCCCAGCGCCGAAGCCGCCGUCCAUCACAGUGGGCGGAGGGCAAUGUGGCGUUAAGGAAGAGCCUUCUUGACCUGACGUUUCGUUGUUCGGACCGCGGGAGCCCGAGUCCCCCUGACCGGGGCCACUGCCCAUGGCGGGUGCAAGGCCUCUUCGGCUCCGUUCGACGGUUCGAAGG
Molecule: non-coding RNA, 282 nt
Filed under: Strigamia maritima
Lineage: Eukaryota; Metazoa; Arthropoda; Chilopoda; Geophilomorpha; Linotaeniidae
Description: Eukaryotic large subunit ribosomal RNA
Rfam family: Eukaryotic large subunit ribosomal RNA
Source: Rfam by way of RNAcentral